GCAGUUUGCAAGCAGGACAAGCCUUGGUUUCUGGGGAUGCUUCAGAUAACAUAGGUUCUAUCCUGGGAGCACUUGAACAAGCUAAAUUUUCUAUUAGCCAACAGAUCAACGUCUCGCCAGUAGAAGGCCGAUCGUCCAUAGAACAUUCUAUUCCUACUGCUAAAAUUGAGGACAGAUUAGACAUUCCUCCUGGAUUCCCUGGCCUUUUUAGACUACCAACAGAUUUUCAACUUGAAGCAACUACAACAGCCAGCUACCAAGGUUUUCCGUCAAGGUUCAGUUCAGCGAAUCAUUUUCAUGAACCUGGCUAUAAUCAAUUCUCAGCUACCCCUUACAUGGAGUCUCCAUCAAAUGCUAUUACAGGUCUACCAUAUACCACUGGAUUCGACUACCUUAAUCCUCCCUCGAGCUUUGGUCAUCCAUUUUCUAGUAAAUCAACCUACCCCACAUAUCCUUUCCGUCCCAAUACAACAACUACUGUGUCUCAAUCCCAAGCAAGUUGGAGUCCGCUAUAUGAAUCCUCACUAACCAAAUCAAGCCCUGUUGUAGUGCCAAACUUGUCCUCAGGCGAAGACGUAUUCUUAAGAUCCCUUCCAAGGAAUGAGACAGGUAAACCUCCAUCAUUUCCUGUCUCACAUUAUGAUGCUCAUAUGAGACCAAACAUGUAUAGAUAGCUGGCAUUGCUCACAGCACUACAUUUCAUUAAGAGAUAGACUCUACUUUCUUCAUCCAAUAUGGUUUCUUGAGACCAGUAUGAGUGGUGUAGCUAUGUAUCUAGAUAUUUGAGUCUUAUUGUAUUAGAUGUGUAUUUUGUAAAGUCUUCUGGAAUCAAUAAACUGUCAG
RNAcentral lists this unclassified non-coding RNA (843 nucleotides) under Hevea brasiliensis (rubber tree). Lineage: Eukaryota; Viridiplantae; Streptophyta; Magnoliopsida; Malpighiales; Euphorbiaceae. The record is from RNAcentral.